This 764-nucleotide ribosomal RNA is filed under the name uncultured bacterium. RNAcentral describes it as "bacterial SSU rRNA". It matches the Rfam family "Bacterial small subunit ribosomal RNA", at positions 8 to 762 of the family's 1533-position model. The record is from RNAcentral.
AGAGUUUGAUCCUGGCUCAGGAUGAACGCUGGCGGCGUGCCUAACACAUGCAAGUCGAACGGAGCCUAAUCAGCAGAAGCGGACAGCUUGCUGGAAGCAGAAGCAGAAAAGGCUUAGUGGCGGACGGGUGAGUAACGCGUGGGUAACCUGGCCCAUACAGGGGGAUAACACUUAGAAAUAGGUGCUAAUACCGCAUAACAACAGAAAGCGCAUGCUUUGUGUUUGAAAACUGAGGUGGUAUGGGAUGGACCCGCGUCUGAUUAGCUGGUUGGCGGGGUAAUGGCCCACCAAGGCGACGAUCAGUAGCCGGCCUGAGAGGGUGGACGGCCACAUUGGGACUGAGACACGGCCCAAACUCCUACGGGAGGCAGCAGUGGGGAAUAUUGCACAAUGGGGGAAACCCUGAUGCAGCGACGCCGCGUGAGUGAAGAAGUAAUUCGUUAUGUAAAGCUCUAUCAGCAGGGAAGAAAAUGACGGUACCUGAUUAAGAAGCCCCGGCUAACUACGUGCCAGCAGCCGCGGUAAUACGUAGGGGGCAAGCGUUAUCCGGAUUUACUGGGUGUAAAGGGAGCGUAGACGGCAGUGCAAGUCUGGAGUGAAAGGCGGGGGCUCAACCCCCGGACUGCUCUGGAAACUGUACAGCUGGAGUGCAGGAGAGGUAAGUGGAAUUCCUAGUGUAGCGGUGAAAUGCGUAGAUAUUAAGAGGAACACCAGUGGCGAAGGCGGCUUACUGGACUGUAACUGACGUUGAGGCUCGAAAGCGU